This 497-nucleotide ribosomal RNA is filed under the name uncultured bacterium. RNAcentral describes it as "partial 16S ribosomal RNA". It matches the Rfam family "Bacterial small subunit ribosomal RNA", at positions 28 to 507 of the family's 1533-position model. The record is from RNAcentral.
GAUGAACGCUGGCGGCGUGCCUAAUACAUGCAAGUCGAGCGAACGGACGAGAAGCUUGCUUCUCUGAUGUUAGCGGCGGACGGGUGAGUAACACGUGGAUAACCUACCUAUAAGACUGGGAUAACUUCGGGAAACCGGAUCUAAUAUCGGAUAAGAUUUUGAACCGCAUGGUUCAAAAGUGAAAGACGGUCUUGCUGUCACUUAUAGAUGGAUCCGCGCUGCAUUAGCUAGUUGGUAAGGUAACGGCCUACCAAGGCAACGAUGCAUAGCUGACCUGAGAGGGUGAUCGGCCACACUGGAACUGAGACACGGUCCAGACUCCUACGGGAGGCAGCAGUGGGGAAUCUUCCGCAAUGGGCGAAAGCCUGACGGAGCAACGCCGCGUGAGUGAUGAAGGUCUUCGGAUCGUAAAACUCUGUUAGUAGGGAAGAACAUAUGUGUAAGUAACUGUGCACAUCUUGACGGUACCUAAUCAGAAAGCCACGGCUAACUACGUG